Molecule: small RNA, 512 nt
Filed under: Pongo abelii (Sumatran orangutan)
Lineage: Eukaryota; Metazoa; Chordata; Mammalia; Primates; Hominidae
Description: processed transcript
Source: RNAcentral
GACACCGGCCUGCUGGGAACGGUGUGGAGCCAGGAAGGCCCGCGGUGGGGAUGGGCAUGGCUCACGCACCCCGGCUUGCUUUCCAGCACCUGGCUGAGCACGCGGACGCUGCGCAGCUGGUGUCUGGCUUCGAGGCCACCAUCAACAAGUUUGACAAGAACUUCUCAGCCCACCUGCUGGACCUCCUGGCGCGGCUGAGCAUCUAUAGCACCAGUGACUGUGAGCACGGCAUGGCCAGCGUCAUCUCCAGGCUUGACUUCAAUGGUUUCUACACGGAGCGCCUGGAGCGCCUGUCUGCAGAGAGGAGCCAGAAGGCCGCCCCCCAAGUGCCUGUCCUGCGGGGGCCCCCGGCUCCUGCACCCAGGGUCGCAGUCACUGCACAGUGAGCCCUGGCUGCGACAGGAAGUAAGGGUGUGGGGUCAGCAGGGACUGGUGCAAAUGGGUCCAGAAUUUUCAAAUCGAAUGCUCUGUGUUCUGUCUUUGCAGUUUAAAUAUAAAGCAGGAAUGACCGC